Molecule: long non-coding RNA, 219 nt
Organism: Phyllostomus discolor (pale spear-nosed bat)
Lineage: Eukaryota; Metazoa; Chordata; Mammalia; Chiroptera; Phyllostomidae
Exons: 3
Source: RefSeq, a predicted model, not a curated record
AAGUCCUGGCUUCGCUGCUAGAUCAACAUGAAUACAGUAUAGGUAUAAAUGUUUGACCAAAAAUGGCAAUUUCUUAUGUUUUUAGGGGUAUUAAGAAAGUGUUCUUUGGUUUAUUUUGCUUUUGAUUGUAAUAAUGUAUGCAAAUCCUGGUAACCAUUAAUUUUCUCAAACUUAAUGUCUGAAAGCUUCAUAAAGUCAACCUAAAUAUUUACCUUAAGG